Molecule: ribosomal RNA, 467 nt
Filed under: uncultured bacterium
Lineage: Bacteria
Description: partial 16S ribosomal RNA
Rfam family: Bacterial small subunit ribosomal RNA
Source: RNAcentral
GAAGAAAGAGGGAGGCGUGCUUAACACAUGCAAGUCGAACGGAAAGGCCUCUUUCGGGGGGUACUCGAGUGGCGAACGGGUGAGUAACACGUGAGUAACCUGCCCUUGACUUUGGGAUAACUUCAGGAAACUGGGGCUAAUACCGGAUAGGAGCUCCUGCUGCAUGGUGGGGGUUGGAAAGUUUCGGCGGUUGGGGAUGGACUCGCGGCUUAUCAGCUUGUUGGUGGGGUAGUGGCUUACCAAGGGUUUGACGGGUAGCCGGCCCGAGAGGGUGACCGGCCACAUUGGGACUGGGGUACGGCCCAGACUCCUACGGGGGGGAGCAGUGGGGAAUAUUGCACCAUGGGUGGAAGCCUGAUGCAGCAACGCCGUGUGCGGGAUGACGGCCUUCGGGUUGUAAACCGCUUUCGCUCAUGACGAAGCUUUGUGUGACGGUAGUGGGUAAAGAAGCACCGGCUAACUACGUG